UAGCCUUUUUUCCUUAUUCCUCUAAAUCGUCUCUUAAACUUAGAACAUAUCCAUUCCCUUCUCUUAUCCUCGAACCUUCGAACCCUAACCUCUUCGGCGAGUCACAAGGCAGUCCGUCAAGGCUCCAACAAAGGCUACCAAAUUGCUUCUCCAAUAUACAUCCUCUAGCUCACACAUAGCCUUGGGUAAGUAAUUUAAUGGCAGCGACAAAGAUUUAGCAUUUGGCUUCUCUGUAUUCUUACCAGUUGAUGUGAGAUCACAAAGUUCUUUGUGCUUGGGUGAAGUAAAUGAGCAAAGGAAAGACGAAGCAGUGAAGACCUCGCUUAAUUUUGGAUAGUUGCCGAAUUUUAGAUCUUCUAGGAUCUUUUCUUUUCGAUCAUUUUGAAACUUAUGCGAACUCUUGAAUUGUAAAACAGUUUGAUAUUUUGCUUUUAUUGAUAUUAUUAGUUGGAUAAUUUGGAUUGUGCUUAUGAAUUGUUUCAUUUCGUGA
Molecule: long non-coding RNA, 490 nt
Organism: Nicotiana attenuata
Lineage: Eukaryota; Viridiplantae; Streptophyta; Magnoliopsida; Solanales; Solanaceae
Exons: 2
Source: RefSeq, a predicted model, not a curated record